GGAAGUGAAAUAUCCUAAUGAUGUGGUCUGGAGGAACUACACGUCUUCUUAGAGCCUUCAGCACAUUUGAGUCUGACAGGAAAGAUUAGAACAGUUUUCGAGCAGGUGUCAGACAAAACUAAAUUUAUUUCCAAAUUUAUACUCACUGAUGGUCCCACAGCAGGAAAAUGGCUGAAGCUGAAGUUCUUUACUCUGAUAUUAAGUUCACAAGAGCGAGGGGAAACACAGAUGUGGCCACACCCUCUACAGAUGAACCCAGUUAUUCCGAAGUCAAGAUCUCAAAAACUCAGCGACCUGCAGAGCUGCCUGGCUCCAAACAACCUGCAGCAUCAAGCAGGC
Molecule: long non-coding RNA, 339 nt
Organism: Hippoglossus stenolepis (Pacific halibut)
Lineage: Eukaryota; Metazoa; Chordata; Actinopteri; Pleuronectiformes; Pleuronectidae
Exons: 3
Source: RefSeq, a predicted model, not a curated record